GAUGAACGCUGGCGGCGUGCCUAAUACAUGCAAGUCGAGCGAACAGACGAGGAGCUUGCUCCUCUGACGUUAGCGGCGGACGGGUGAGUAACACGUGGAUAACCUACCUAUAAGACUGGGAUAACUUCGGGAAACCGGAGCUAAUACCGGAUAAUAUAUUGAACCGCAUGGUUCAAUAGUAAAAGACGGUUUUGCUGUCACUUAUAGAUGGAUCCGCGCCGCAUUAGCUAGUUGGUAAGGUAACGGCUUACCAAGGCAACGAUGGGUAGCCGACCUGAGAGGGUGAUCGGCCACACUGGAACUGAGACACGGUCCAGACUCCUACGGGAGGCAGCAGUAGGGAAUCUUCCGCAAUGGGCGAAAGCCUGACGGAGCAACGCCGCGUGAGUGAUGAAGGUCUUCGGAUCGUAAAACUCUGUUAUUAGGGAAGAACAAAUGUGUAAGUAACUAUGCACGUCUUGACGGUACCUAGUCAGAAAGCCACGGCUAACUACGUG
This 497-nucleotide ribosomal RNA is filed under the name uncultured bacterium. Its description in RNAcentral is "partial 16S ribosomal RNA". It matches the Rfam family "Bacterial small subunit ribosomal RNA", at positions 28 to 507 of the family's 1533-position model. The record is from RNAcentral.